This is a non-coding RNA of Pelobates cultripes (western spadefoot toad), 240 nucleotides long. The record is from the annotation of a GenBank genome assembly. Lineage: Eukaryota; Metazoa; Chordata; Amphibia; Anura; Pelobatidae.
CCGCCCUCGCAUCCGAAUCCUUCUGUUAAUAUAACAGGCAAUGACCCCCAUAUAAAUAACAUAUAUAUCAUACAUAUCAACAUAUUCCAACAUACCAACUUAAAGUGCCAAACAUAAAUUAACCAUGGCAGGGGUAUACCCGGAUACCCCUGCCCCACCAGAUUCUGAGCCACCGACAGGACUCGGAACCUACCAACCACCAAUGACCACAGUUUUACGUCUCCAUGACGUUCAUCCUAG